This 898-nucleotide long non-coding RNA is filed under the name Selaginella moellendorffii. RNAcentral describes it as "long non-coding RNA (SMOE_LNC001600)". The record is from RNAcentral. Lineage: Eukaryota; Viridiplantae; Streptophyta; Lycopodiopsida; Selaginellales; Selaginellaceae.
AGUAGCUACUGGACAGCUUAUAAACUAAAAUCCCAUGUUCAUGAGAUCAUCAAAGCAAUCAAAAUGUGAAAUCUAGGACAUGCCAACCACUAAGAAAAUACUUUUGGCAUUCGCACGGAUUGAGCCUGGGUAUUUCACGUGACAGCGGGAGAGAUUCACCACUGUACUGUGAAGAUAUUAUACAUCUAAACAUGUGCUUAAGCAUCUAAGCUCCAGUGGAACACCUCACAUGGUGUGCUGUUGGGACAAUAACGUUUCGUCCCCGUUUUAAGAAAAACUACGAGAAUUGACAAGGUAGAAUACUCGGCUUGGAGAAUUUUAAGCCUGGAACUUCACAUGGAACCCCAGUUGGAAUGCCAGCACCACUCGCCACGAAUCUUUAGUCGGAGAAAUCUCGUCUUCACUACUUGUAUUGAAAAUGGAUUCUUUGCGCCGGCUAGCAGAGAAAUUGGUUCGCUGGGAUUGAAAGCCUGUCACACAACACAAGAUACUCUAAGAGUAAACUUUAAGACUUUGAAAACACGAACCUCGAAAAACUGGUGCUACAAAUCUCGGAAAUCGAUCCAUGCCCCGUGGAGCUUUUCGUUGGAGGAUCACCUCCCUCGCAGGGAAGUUUUUCCACUGGCUAAGAAAAAGCAUAUAGAAUCCUCUACAGUUUCCCGCAAGAAAAGUUCGAUUCCUAUGAAUCGGUCAGCAUCAUUAAACAAGCAGGGAGUGAAAAAAGGAGGAGUCCAUCGAGGCAAGUAGCAGCAAAGACGACAGUGACGAUAUAAAAAUGGCUGCGGUCUCGCAAAAGAAGUGCCGCACAAAGCAAGCAUCAGGAUGCAAAGUCGUCUUUGAGAGAUACCUGGAGUGAUUGGAAGCUAUAGCUUAGAUGGCAAGGAAUGAUAAGAUUUCG